GGGGAGCGGAGCCAGAGAGAGAAAAAGAGAGAAAAGUUUCCCGGAGUCUUCAUUAGUUGAUUUCCCUGUCCGCCGCUUUCCCCGGCCGGCUCACCCCCGGUAAAGGAAGGAGGGGCGUCUUUAUUUUUUUAAGGCCCCAAAGAGUCUGAUGUUUACAAGACCAGAAAUGCCACGGCCGCGUCCUGGCAGAGAAAAGGCUGAAAUGGAGGACCGGCGCCUUCCUUAUAAGCUCGUUGGGGCCUAAGCCAGUACCGACCUGGUAGAAAAAGCAACCACGAAGCUAGAGAGAGAGCCAGAGGAGGGAAGAGAGCGCCAGACGAAGGUGAAAGCGAACCACGCAGAGAAAUGCAGGCAAGGGAGCAAGGCGGCAGUUCCCGGAACAAACGUGGCAGAGGGCAAGACGGGCACUCACAGACAGAGGUUUAUGUAUUUUUAUUUUUUAAAAUCUGAUUUGGUGUUCCAUGAGGAAAAGGGAAAAUCUAGGGAACGGGAGUACAGAGAGAAUAAUCCGGGUCCUAGCUCGCCACAUGAACGCCCAGAGAACGCUGGAAAAACCUGAGCGGGUGCCGGGGCAGCACCCGGCUCGGGUCAGCCACUGCCCCACACCGGGCCCACCAAGCCCCGCCCCUCGCGGCCACCGGGGCUUCCUUGCUCUUCUUAUCAUCUCCAUCUUUAUGAUGAGGCUUGUUAACAAGACCAGAGAGCUGGCCAAGCACCUCUAUCUCAGCCGCGCCCGCUCAGCCGAGCAGCGGUCGGUGGGGGGACUGGGAGGCGCUAAUUAAUUGAUUCCUUUGGACUGUAAAAUAUGGCGGCGUCUACACGGAACCCAUGGACUCAUAAACAAUAUAUCUGUUGGGCG
Molecule: long non-coding RNA, 859 nt
Filed under: Homo sapiens (human)
Lineage: Eukaryota; Metazoa; Chordata; Mammalia; Primates; Hominidae
Description: HOX transcript antisense RNA variant G1.25
Source: RNAcentral